RNAcentral lists this non-coding RNA (29 nucleotides) under Homo sapiens (human). The record is from RNAcentral. Lineage: Eukaryota; Metazoa; Chordata; Mammalia; Primates; Hominidae.
UGGCGUCACUUGGGCCCAGGAGUUGAGUG